RNAcentral lists this ribosomal RNA (497 nucleotides) under uncultured bacterium. RNAcentral's name for it is "partial 16S ribosomal RNA". It matches the Rfam family "Bacterial small subunit ribosomal RNA", at positions 28 to 507 of the family's 1533-position model. The record is from RNAcentral.
GACGAACGCUGGCGGCGUGCCUAAUACAUGCAAGUCGAGCGCUGAAGGUUGGUACUUGUACCAACUGGAUGAGCAGCGAACGGGUGAGUAACGCGUGGGGAAUCUGCCUUUGAGCGGGGGACAACAUCGGGAAACGAAUGCUAAUACCGCAUAAAAACUUUAAACACAAGGUUCAAGUUUGAAAGAUGCAAUUGCAUCACUCAAAGAUGAUCCCGCGUUGUAUUAGCUAGUUGGUGGGGGUAAGGCCCACCAAGGCGAUGAUACAUAGCCGAACUGGGAGGGUGGUCGGCCACCAUGGGACUGGGACCCGGCCCAAACUCCUUCGGGAGGCCGCAGUAGGGGAUCUUUGGCAAUGGGGGAAAGUCCGACCGAGCAACGCCGCGUGAGUGAAGAAGGUUUUCGGAUCGUUAAACUCUUUUUGUUGGGAAGAAAGAUGGUGAGAGUGGAAAGCUCAUCAAGUGACGGUAACUACCCAGAAAGCGACGGCUAACUACGUG